UUGAGGAGGAGAGAUGAAAUUUCGUGAUACCAAAGGGACUCUGUAAAGGCGAAGGCAGCCCUCUAUGUAAAAACUGACGUUGAAGGACGAAGGCACAGAGAACAAACAGGAUUAGAUACCCAAGUAGUCUUUGCAGUAAAUGAUGAAUGCCAUAGGUUAGAUUAA
RNAcentral lists this ribosomal RNA (165 nucleotides) under Fusarium acuminatum CS5907. RNAcentral's name for it is "SSU ribosomal RNA Mit. Beauveria bassiana". It matches the Rfam family "Bacterial small subunit ribosomal RNA", at positions 668 to 831 of the family's 1533-position model. Lineage: Eukaryota; Fungi; Ascomycota; Sordariomycetes; Hypocreales; Nectriaceae. The record is from RNAcentral.